AUUGAACGCUGGCGGCAGGCCUAACACAUGCAAGUCGAACGGUAGCAGGAGAAAGCUUGCUUUCUUGCUGACGAGUGGCGGACGGGUGAGUAAUGCUUGGGAAUCUGGCUUAUGGAGGGGGAUAACUACGGGAAACUGUAGCUAAUACCGCGUAGAAUCGGAAGAUGAAAGUGCGGGACCGCAAGGCCGCAUGCCAUGAGAUGAGCCCAAGUGGGAUUAGGUAGUUGGUGGGGUAAAGGCCUACCAAGCCUGCGAUCUCUAGCUGGUCUGAGAGGAUGGCCAGCCACACUGGAACUGAGACACGGUCCAGACUCCUACGGGAGGCAGCAGUGGGGAAUAUUGCGCAAUGGGGGGAACCCUGACGCAGCCAUGCCGCGUGAAUGAAGAAGGCCUUCGGGUUGUAAAGUUCUUUCGGUAUUGAGGAAGGUUGAUGUGAUAAUAGUACAUCAAAUUGACGUUAAAUACAGAAGAAGCACCGGCUAACUCCGUGC
RNAcentral lists this ribosomal RNA (491 nucleotides) under uncultured Haemophilus sp. RNAcentral describes it as "bacterial SSU rRNA". It matches the Rfam family "Bacterial small subunit ribosomal RNA", at positions 30 to 508 of the family's 1533-position model. The record is from RNAcentral. Lineage: Bacteria; Pseudomonadati; Pseudomonadota; Gammaproteobacteria; Pasteurellales; Pasteurellaceae.